RNAcentral lists this long non-coding RNA (329 nucleotides) under Ananas comosus (pineapple). Its description in RNAcentral is "long non-coding RNA (ACOM_LNC042147)". Lineage: Eukaryota; Viridiplantae; Streptophyta; Magnoliopsida; Poales; Bromeliaceae. The record is from RNAcentral.
AUAUGUCAUCUUUUGUAUUUGAUGAAUUGAGAUGUAAAAGAAAAGAAUGUAAAUUUCUAUUUUGAGGAAAAUGUGAUGUAAAAAGAAAUGAUGAAAAGCAUGUAUAUGUAAAGAAUCAUGAAUAUGAAGGUUAAAUGCAAUGUAUGUGAUCAAAAGUUGAAUCAUAGUACUUGUGUAGUUGUUUAGCUUCCAUUCUUUCACUAAUGGCUAUUGCUUACCCUCGUGUAAGCCGUAUUUGUAUGUUUUCGCUUGUGCAUUCUCUUUGCUUAAAUUGUUCAUGUGUUGAGCCUUGGGCGGACAGGAAAAACUCUGUCCGUUCGGCGUCUGUU